CUAAAAAUAUUUAUUACAUGCUUUUAAAUAGCAAACAAAUAUAAACCUAUUUUAUUAAAGUGUGAAACUUUUUGUGGCAGAGGGGUAAUUCAAAACACUAAUUUAAGUAUUGGUCUCAUAUUUUUAUAAAACUAAAAUCUACUAGUAAUAAAAUAAAACAGCAAAUAAAAAUAAAUAAAAGAAACUAGAAAAGAAUAAAAAUAAAAAAGCGGAAAAACCCUGGGCUUCUGACCCAUCGGGCAAGUGGGCAGCCCAGCCGGCCCACCCCCACUUGCCUCCUUCCUCUGCUAUAGGGAGGCAGGGGGGUCGUGGCGCUCAUCGCCCGGCCAUGGCGCGCCCCUGCCGCCGUGGCGGGCAUCCGCCGCGCCCCCGUCCUAUAUAGCCUCGCCCCCUUCCCCUCGGCGAACCCUAGCUCCUCCCUCCCUUUCCCCCUCGCGCCCCACGUCCUUUCUCUAUCUCACACACAUACUCUGACCAAAUUAACCACGACGCACCGGAGCACGCCGCUGCGAAUCACCGCGGCCACCGGCCAUCGUCCGCCACACCGAGGGUUCAGGAGGACCACCACCAUCGACUUCGUUCAUCCCGAGCCUCAAAUCGAGCGGGGCCGCCCUGUAUGCUCGCCAUCGACCUCGUUUCCACCGCGUACAUCGUCGUCGUCCGCCGUCGAUUGCCGCCGCCCCGGUCCGUCCCCGACCUCCCCGAGCAUGCCUACAGCUCCGUGAUGGUGGAGCCCAGGAUCCAGCCGCCACCACCGACAACUACUACUACCCUGAGGGUGCUUACUACUACGUGGAGGCCGACGACGACUAGGAGUAGUUAGGAGGUCCUAGGCAGGAGGCCUUGCCUUUUCGAUCGAUGUUGCUUUUGUGCUAGCCUUCUUAAGGCAAAUUUGUCUAACUUAUGUCUGUACUCAAAUAUUGUUGCUUCCGCUGACUCUUGUGUUUUCGAGCUUAUGUAUUCGAGCCCUCGCAGCCCCUGGAUUGUAAUAUAACGCUUGUAUUAUUUUAAUUUGUGUCUAGAGUUG
Molecule: non-coding RNA, 1027 nt
Organism: Triticum urartu
Lineage: Eukaryota; Viridiplantae; Streptophyta; Magnoliopsida; Poales; Poaceae
Source: RefSeq, a predicted model, not a curated record